AGUUGUACGUCCAAAUAAAACAUCAAACUUAUAUGAUUUCAUCACCUGGCCAAAUGACCCUUAAUACCAAAAAUGCCGUAUCAAAAUGUUUAAAAAGCACACCAUACUGACCAGUAAAAUACCCCUAACAGCAAUCAAUCUCUCCGAGUUUCAACAAAUUGAACGAAUUACAAUUACACUACAUAUCAAAGACCAGACAAAAUUUCAAUGUUCAGAGAACCAAAAUCACGGCAUGUGCAUAGAAUUUUUCUCAUAAUACAUAAAACACCUACGGCCAAGAAGCAUUUAUCUCCUUCAUCCUUUUCAUUUUCUUGUUGAUUUGAACAGCCCCAGGUGACAGAAAAUGGACAGGUG
RNAcentral lists this unclassified non-coding RNA (354 nucleotides) under Hevea brasiliensis (rubber tree). The record is from RNAcentral. Lineage: Eukaryota; Viridiplantae; Streptophyta; Magnoliopsida; Malpighiales; Euphorbiaceae.